UAGUGGCGAACGGGUGAGUAACACGUGGGCAAUCUGCCCUUCACUCUGGGACAAGCCCUGGAAACGGGGUCUAAUACCGGAUACAACCACUGACCUCAUGGUCGGGUGGUGGAAAGCUCCGGCGGUGAAGGAUGAGCCCGCGGCCUAUCAGCUUGUUGGUGAGGUAAUGGCUCACCAAGGCGACGACGGGUAGCCGGCCUGAGAGGGCGACCGGCCACACUGGGACUGAGACACGGCCCAGACUCCUACGGGAGGCAGCAGUGGGGAAUAUUGCACAAUGGGCGAAAGCCUGAUGCAGCGACGCCGCGUGAGGGAUGACGGCCUUCGGGUUGUAAACCUCUUUCAGCAGGGAAGAAGCGAAAGUGACGGUACCUGCAGAAGAAGCGCCGGCUAACUACGUGCCAGCAGCCGCGGUAAUACGUAGGGCGCAAGCGUUGUCCGGAAUUAUUGGGCGUAAAGAGCUCGUAGGCGGCUUGUCACGUCGGGUGUGAAAGCCCGGGGCUUAACCCCGGGUCUGCAUUCGAUACGGGCUAGCUAGAGUGUGGUAGGGGAGAU
RNAcentral lists this ribosomal RNA (555 nucleotides) under Streptomyces sp. 434A11. RNAcentral's name for it is "bacterial SSU rRNA". It matches the Rfam family "Bacterial small subunit ribosomal RNA", at positions 93 to 661 of the family's 1533-position model. Lineage: Bacteria; Bacillati; Actinomycetota; Actinomycetes; Kitasatosporales; Streptomycetaceae. The record is from RNAcentral.